Molecule: non-coding RNA, 84 nt
Organism: Uloborus diversus
Lineage: Eukaryota; Metazoa; Arthropoda; Arachnida; Araneae; Uloboridae
Source: the annotation of a RefSeq genome assembly
GUCAGGGUGACCGAGUGGUCUAAGGCGCCAGAUUUAAGCUCUGGUUCUCAUCUCAGAGCGUGGGUUCAAAUCCCACUCCUGACA